This 1502-nucleotide long non-coding RNA is filed under the name Anser cygnoides (Swan goose). Its description in RNAcentral is "lncRNA (ENSACDG00005001060.1)". Lineage: Eukaryota; Metazoa; Chordata; Aves; Anseriformes; Anatidae. The record is from RNAcentral.
GUUUUGACACAGGUGAGGUGAAAACCUCCAAACAUAGAGUGAAGAUAUGAGUUGCACGACUAUUCUUGCACUGAAGUACCGCAUAUUAUUUAUAUGCCAAAAACCUCAUAAGAAAGGACUUUUCACAGACUCCUGAAGUAAGUUCUGCCACCAAUUAAUUUGCAAUGCUUUGUGUGAAGGCAGAAUUUGACCACCAUUAUCUAGAGUUUUCCACUAUUCUUUGCCUUAUGAGUAAAUACGCUUGUUUCCACUGCUCUGCCUCAUCAGGAGGAAUCAGUUAUAGUAUAAGAUGAUUAAAUGCCAACCCUCAGUUAUGUCUUACUGUAAGGCUGUCUUUUAUAAUUAUGAGGUAGACUCUAUCCCUCUAUUCACCAAUAGUACCUUACUGCAUGAGCGGAGUGGCUGAACAUGCACUGGGCUACUUAUGAAGUAGCAUACUGUGUAUUUGAGAAUAAUCAUCAAACAGUUGUAUGUCUUAUAGGCCCUGGGAAAGGGUGUCUUACAGGUAUCAAACAAGUAUUUUCUAAGAUAUGUAUUUGAGAGGCAAUUAGCAUAUAAAUUACACAGCUUUUAAAUGUAAUUUGGGAGCAGAUCACUAUGUUAGAAAUGUAUAAAAAUGCAUUAGAGAGUAGCCUCAUUCUUCCUUUUUGUGCUUGUGUAUUUUGCAAGACUAUACAUUCACCCAAUAUGCACUCCUAUAAUAACUCUCCUCUAACAUUUAAUUUACUUAUUUGUUAAAAAAAAAAAAAAAAAAAGCUGGAAUUUGCAGCUACAGCAAAGAGAACUUGAAAGAGAACUUAGGGUUAAUAUACCAAUUAAGUUACUUCUAUAGUAAAAGCCCUUAUACGCAUUUAGGGGCACUUCCAUGACUUUCAAAAAUAAAUACAUUUAUUUUUUGCUUGUUUUAUUCCACAGAUUUCCACACAAUGUUUACCACCAGCCACACAGUGUGGCAGCAGAAAUGCCCAUGUUGCAGACAUGUCCGUCAGGUGGAAGGUCCCUGGCCAAUAAUAGGAGAGUUGUGAAGAGAUUUGGGACUGCGUAAAUAAACUCUGAGCAGAGAUCACACGUGAGGGAGACGAGGUAUUUUUGAUACAUCAACCACUCAAGAGCAUGGAUUUGUCUCUGCUCCUGGGGAUUUCUGUGAAGUCACCUGAGCUGCAAUUCUGCUUUCAGUCUGUUUUUGAGGUGUCUGCUUUCAAACUACCUGAGACAACAGAGGUAAAAAUUUAGAUAAACACAGAACUGUUGGAUUUUCUCUCCUGGCAAAGCACUGUGGAACAGGUACUCCUUUUAUUUCUGUGUAUUUACAAUUAUUUUUCCACAGAAGCAAACUUCUCUGAGCUACUUGGAUGGCUUGGAACAUGGCCUUGCAAUCUUAACCUGCUUUGGCUCCAGUACAGCUUUAGUUUCUCUGGCACCCAUUUCUGGGUUUUCCUGGCAGAAUGAACACCUGUAACAAUGAAACAGACAAAUAAAUAAAGUAGUUUGGUAAUUGGCCA